AGCCACUACCAACACUAGAUCAUACAUUGGAAAAAUCUCCGAAAACAUCAAGGUGCAAAUCAUGUUACAGAUUACUGGUGAAAAAAGAAGGAAGACUAAUUGCACAAAAAAAAAAAAACAAAAAGAAUCAAAACAAGAUGUAAUCAGUGUGAUCAACAUUUAUGUCCGGAAUGUUUCUUCAAGACUCACAAAACAAGAAAA
This is a long non-coding RNA of Sipha flava (yellow sugarcane aphid), 201 nucleotides long. RefSeq lists it as uncharacterized. The transcript has 2 exons. Lineage: Eukaryota; Metazoa; Arthropoda; Insecta; Hemiptera; Aphididae. The record is from RefSeq and is a predicted model, not a curated record.